UCUCGGGUGGUAUCACGCACACUCCGACCGCAGAUCUCGAUCUGGACCCACGAAACUCACUUCAUUGCAUCAUGAGUAUAACAACACAACUAAACGUCCCAGAGAUACGAAACUUGGCACACAACUAAAAAGCCCCAGAAAUAUAAAGCUUCACAACACAAUGCAAAAACCUUGCCUCCCGGUUGUAACAACACAAUCACACCACAAAACCACAAUCUGGACCCACAAAACUCACAACAAUGCAUUGUGACUAUAACAAAUACAAAACUUGGCAACACAACACAAAAUCCUUGCCUCUCAGUUGUAACAACACAACCACACCACAAAACCACAAUCUGGACCCACAAAACUCACAACAACGCAUUGUGACUAUAACAAAUACAAAAUUUGACAACACAACUCAUCCACCUCCCCAAUCCCUACAUUCACACUUGGCCUCCAAAAAAACAAUUACAAUAAUAACAAUGACAACAACAACAACAACAAGAAUCAACACCAUCACAGGCAAGAAACAGCCAGGCACUGAGGCUGAGAGGUCAGUCAGUGCUACACUGGGCCUCCAAAAAACAAUACAGUAGCAUCUAACUUAUCCAACCUUCAUGACCACAACAACAACAAUAAUAAUAAACACCUACAUAGGCAAAACAAAAAAAACUAUUGUACCACAAUAAAAAUAUAAACCGCACUCAGCAGAAUCAGACAUUACAAUUAAGAACAAACCAAAGACAACAGGGAUCUCAAGCAAUUAUCAAUCAACACAAAAACUGAAGAAGGCAACAGACUUCAAAUACUACUACUAAUGUGAGUAUAAAGAAGGGUGGAGGUCACAGCAUAAAUACAACCUAAUGUAGACUGACCAACACCACCAGACUAAGCCACAGCAACGCGUGGCCGGGCACAGCUAGUCUAUAUAUAUAAAAGGGUAAUGAAAUUUCGGCCUAGGACAAAACAACAAAACUACACAUCCCAGAAACACUAAACUUGGCAGCACAACCCCUCAUCCAUGCCUCUACGUUCAUACAACAAAAAGAAAAGAAAAAUAAAGUCCUAAUGAGAGGGAGAGGAAUAAUUGUUUUUAUCCAAUUGUUGCCAGUUAGAAGACUAAGCUCCGUCCACUUGGUCUCCUAGCAACCCACUCAACCCAGGGGACAGGCAGAGUUAGGCCUCACUUAGGCCUCUUCCACACUGCCUAUAAAAUACAGAUUAUCUGAUUUUAACUGGAUUGUAUGGCAGUGUAGACUCAAGGCCCUUCCAUACAGCUAUAUAACCUAUUUAUAAUCUUAUAUUAUCUGCUUUGAACUGGAUUAUCUUGACUCCACACUGCCAUAUAAUCCACUUCAGUGUGUAUUUUAUCCAGCUGUGUAGAAGGGGCCUCAUACUUCGCCACAGCAACGCGUGGCCGGGCACAGCUAGUAAAUAAAUAAAUAAACACACUGCGCCACCGGGGUUCCUGAGUACAUCUUGCCUAAAAAAACCCCAAAAAACCAUAAAAUUCAUGGGAUGGCCACAAAAGCAAAUUGAAGGCACACUUACUCUCCAAUACAUUAAAUGGCUGUGUUACAAGGUUAUAUGACAGCCAACACCUAUUCAAAUUUCUUCUUUGAUAUAGCCAUCGAAGGGACAGAAGCCAUCUCUCGUUUUCAAUCUGACAAUCCUAAUGGAAGACCAACUGAAUCCCAACGAGGGCUGGUUGACCUUGAGCAAGUCACAUUUUCUCUCUGGUGAAGAGGAAAGCAAUAGCAAGCUUCCUCUGAGUCGACCUUGCUUUAGAAAUCUCAGUAAUGGUGUCACCAUAACUCAGAGCCAACCUGAUGACACAUAACAAGAAGAACUAGAUCAUCUAUUAUUAUUAUUAUUUAUUUUCAUACCCCGUCACCAUCUCCCAAAUGGGAUUCGGCUUAUACAUGGGGGCCAUGCCCCUAGAUACCAAUACAAAUGAUCCAUAAAACAAAACAUAGAUAAAAUAAAGACAAUAAACAUAACAAAAUAAUUUAAAAUACAGUUACAAUAAAUCAUAAGAAUAUCAAACAGCCGCGUGCAGCAAAAUUACCAUAAUACAAUGGGCGCAGUUGGGGUAUACAAGGGCCAGGCAAAGGCAUGGGAUAGUUAAAGUAACAUAGAUAGGGCCGGGUAUUGGAUAAAGUGAGAUAGCAGCAUGUAAUUAAUUAUAUGCAUUUAAGCUUGAAUAAUGUAUUUUAUGGAUUAUUGUUAAUGGUUUUAAAUAUGUUGUUGUUUUUUAUUGAUUUUGUGUGGCAUUGAAUUUUGCCGGUUGUUGUAAGCCGCCCUGAGUUCCCUCGGGUGAAAAUGGCGGGGUAGAAAUGUUGCAAAUAAAUAAAUAAAUAAAUCUUCUGGAACAUAGGGACUGGGCAUAUGUGACAAGGGACUAGGCAUUGUCAAAAGCAAGCUGGAACAACUAGGUUUCCAGAUCCUUAUGAAAGAAAAGAGGGACAAAGCAGUGCCAUGAAAUAUGAUGUAUGGUAUAAAUGGAAUUGCAUGAAAGCUAUAUGGUUGAGGUCUAUAUAGUCUAGAGAUGCCAUCCUAAGAUUGAAGCCUAGAAAACUACAAGAAGGAGGUGAAAAAUUCAUGGACUAUACCGUGUUUCCCCGAAAAUAAGACAGUGUCUUAUAUUAAUUUUUGCUCCCAAAGAUGUGCUAGGUCUUAUUUUCAGGGGAUGUUUUAUUUUUCCAUUUAUUGUUGAACAAAAAAAUGAAUAUUUAUUAUAUACUGUACAGUAGUUGUCAUCACAAACCAGCAUAACCAGAAAAACUGUGAAUCCUAUCAAGAAUUUCUUGUUACUACAAUUAUUUCCAUAUACAACUGGUAUGUACAUUUACCAACCCUGAAUGCUCUGGUGUUCUGUUUGGCAGGUGCUGGGCAUGCUUCCAAACAAAAACUUUGCUAGGUCUUACUUUCGGGGGAGGCCUUAUAUUUAGCAAUUCAGCAAAACUUCUACUAGGUCUUAUUUUUCAGGGAUGUCUUAUUUUUGGGGAAACAGGGUAAUUAAAAGUUUCUUAUGAGAACAGUGACAAUGAUUAACUGUUGAACCUUUGGUGAAAACAACAUGUUUACAUUAUCAGAGACAAUGGCUCUUUAAGUUGAGAAAAUGUUUACAAGGUUCUUUAUGUUAAGAAGGAAGUCAACGCAAGGCUUCUUAUGUUUACCAACACCAAUUAAGGAUCUGCCCGGAACUGCCCGGAACUGAAAUAGAGCCAGGAUGUUUCAGGCUGGAAAAACAUCUAUCAUUUAUUUACAACUUUGGAACAACAUCAGCAAGAAAUAUUGCUAUAUAACCAACCUUAUUACAAUCCAAAAAUUGUGGCAGACCAGAGGUGACCUGCUAUGCUCUGUCCAUAGGAAGGGGAGAGUGUCAAUGUGGGAUUUGUGUAUUAGUAGUGUUUAAAUGAAAUUUGUGUCUGGCAUGUAUUACAUACAGGUUGCAUCAUCCAGAGUAUGCUAUAGUCUGUAAAGAGUUAAUGACUGAGAAGCUGUGUUGACCUUGAUGUGUGGCUGGAACCUUGAGAGUAUCCAGAAUCAAGUGUAUUUGUACAUUACUGAUUGUGUCAGUUGAGAUCUUGCUUUGUUCUGAGUUGUGUCUGCCUAGAGUGAAAGCCAAGCCUGUGUUCGUCUGCAAUUCUGUUUGUCUUGUAAAGUAAAGCUUUGUAUAUACUUUUUAACAUCGUUUCUGACGUCUCUUCGUUUCUGCGCUCCAUUGACAACAUACAACUGUUGCUACGCUGCGAAUUACUCUGACAGAGAGAUGGUGUGUUUGGGAGAGUGGCAGACCUACAAUGGAAAGCAGAAGUCUGGUCACUUGCUUCUUUCUCAGGGAAAGGAUGCAUUUUGGUGUUUUGGAAGUAUUGGAAAAGUGGCAGAUUUUCAGGGAACGAAUCUGGCCAUGAGAUGACAGAAGAAGAAUGGUGAUAUAUGAAUGACGAUGAAUAAAUGUUUAUAUGUGUGUGAAUGCUGAGUAAAAAUGUAAUUCCAACUUGUUUGUUAGCCAAUAUAGGUGUAAGUUGUUUAUGGAUUCAAUGUAGUGACAUAGAAUCUGUAUGUCCAGUGUUGUUCUUUGUGUAAAAGUGUACAUUCUGAUACCCUUUUUCAUACUGGAAAAUUGCAAUAAAAAGAACCUAAGCUUUAAAGCUAUUGAAAAGUUAUUCAUAACAACAGCGAGCUCCUACAGAAGUAUUUCUUCAUGUAACAAGAAUCACAAGCUCCAGGCCCCUAUGGACACCCAAAGCUAUGUGUCGCCAUUUAGAUCCUGCCUUUGUUUUCUGAUAUAGGCUACUUCUCAGCAAGACAAACCAGAGCUCACUGCAGUUAUUGAUUUACUGCAAAAAUUUCCCACCGAUGAGCAGCAAGGGCUUUAAUUCUCCCUAAGUGACCCCAAGCCUUUGCUGUUGAUGGCGAGGGAGGAGAUUGUCACACUUCUCUGCAAGCCAAGAACUGUCGUUGGAAUGAGAAGCAACCACCCACCAUGCAGUCGUUUCUAGAUGGGCAUUUGUCGUUGCUUUGAUUUUCAAAGGGCAGUCAUCUCCAGCAUUUCCCCAGAGGUGUCAUGAAGAAAGAAGGAGAGAAAGGAGUGAAAUUGAUGUUAAACCCUGACUUCUGGCAGCUAUUCGUCUUUUCUGUGUCCUACAAAAGCUGUGAAAAAUAAGUUUCCUUCUGGAAUAAUAAACACAAGGAUGAACACAGCUUUGAAGAUGACUGAUAGGUAGAAAUUGAGAUAGAUAGAUAAUGGAUACGUGAUAGAUAGAUAGAUAAUCAUACCAUUGAGCCAUGACAGAUUCCAUAACAUUGAGCCAUGGCAGUUAAAGUGGUGUCAAACUGCAUUAAUUCUACAGUGUAGAUGCACCCUAAGUAGACAAUAUAAAAUCUUGGUUGACAUUUAUAGGUAAAGGCAAAUCUAUCUAUCUAUCUAUUUAUCUUUCUAUCAUGAUCGACAGACGGACGGAUGGACAGACAGAUGGAUGAUAGAUAGGUUUGCCUUUACAGUAGAGUCUCACUUAUCCAACAUAAACGGGCCGGCAGACUGUUGGAUAAGCGAAUAUGUUGGAUAAUAAGGAGGCAUUAAGGAAAAGCCUAUAAAAAGUCAAAUUAGGUUAUGAUUUUACAAAUGAAACACCAAAACAUCAUGUUAGACAACAAAUUUGGCAGAAAAAGUAGUUCAAUACACAGUAAUGCUAUGUAGCAAUUACUGUAUUUAUGAAUUUAGCACCAAAAUAUCAUGACAUAUUGAAAACAUUGACUACAAAAAUGCGUUGGAUAAUCCAGAACGUUGGAUAAGCGAGUGUUGGAUAAGUGAGACUCUACUGUAUUUACAAAUGUCAAC
Molecule: long non-coding RNA, 5329 nt
Organism: Anolis carolinensis (green anole)
Lineage: Eukaryota; Metazoa; Chordata; Lepidosauria; Squamata; Anolidae
Source: Ensembl